GCAGGGUUUGGCGGCACAAGACUAUAGUCCCAGAUACUUCAGAGGCUGAGGAGGGAGGAUCGUUUCAGCUUAGGAGGUCUGGGCUGUAGUGCACUAUGCCAAACAGGUAUCCACACUAAGUUUGGCAUCAAUAUGGUGACCUCCCAGGGUCAAGGGACCACCAGGCUGCCUAAGGAGGGGUGAAAUGAUGGCCCAAGUCAAAAAACUCCUGUGCUGAUCAGUAGUGGCCACUGCACUCCAGCCUGGCCAACAUAGUGAGACCCCAUUUCCA
Molecule: unclassified non-coding RNA, 271 nt
Organism: Macaca fascicularis (crab-eating macaque)
Lineage: Eukaryota; Metazoa; Chordata; Mammalia; Primates; Cercopithecidae
Rfam family: Metazoan signal recognition particle RNA
About the family: The signal recognition particle (SRP) is a universally conserved ribonucleoprotein. It is involved in the co-translational targeting of proteins to membranes.
Source: Ensembl